Molecule: ribosomal RNA, 543 nt
Filed under: uncultured bacterium
Lineage: Bacteria
Description: partial 16S ribosomal RNA
Rfam family: Bacterial small subunit ribosomal RNA
Source: RNAcentral
UGGGGAAUAUUGGACAAUGGGGGCAACCCUGAUCCAGCCAUGCCGCGUGAGUGAUGAAGGCCUUAGGGUUGUAAAGCUCUUUCACCGGUGAAGAUAAUGACGGUAACCGGAGAAGAAGCCCCGGCUAACUUCGUGCCAGCAGCCGCGGUAAUACGAAGGGGGCUAGCGUUGAUCGGAAUUACUGGGCGUAAAGCGCACGUAGGCGGAUUGUUAAGUCGAGGGUGAAAUCCCAGGGCUCAACCCUGGAACUGCCUUCGAUACUGGCAUUCUUGAGUCCGAGAGAGGUGAGUGGAAUUCCGAGUGUAGAGGUNAAUUCGUAGAUAUUCGGAAGAACACCAGUGGCGAAGGCGGCUCACUGGCUCGGAACUGACGCUGAGGUGCGAAAAGCGUGGGGAGCAAAACAGGAUUAGAUACCCUGGUAGUCCACGCCGUAAACGAUGGGUGCUAGCCGUUGGGCAGCUUGCUGUUCAGUGGCGCCGCUAACGCUUUAAGCACCCCGCCUGGGGAGUACGGUCGCAAGAUUAAAAACUCAAAGGAAUUGAC